Molecule: ribosomal RNA, 253 nt
Filed under: uncultured bacterium
Lineage: Bacteria
Description: partial 16S ribosomal RNA
Rfam family: Bacterial small subunit ribosomal RNA
Source: RNAcentral
UACGGAGGGGGCUAGCGUUGUUCGGAAUUACUGGGCGUAAAGCGCGCGUAGGCGGACUUUUAAGUCAGGGGUGAAAUCCCGGGGCUCAACCCCGGAACUGCCUUUGAUACUGGAAGUCUUGAGUUCGAGAGAGGUGAGUGGAAUUCCGAGUGUAGAGGUGAAAUUCGUAGAUAUUCGGAGGAACACCAGUGGCGAAGGCGGCUCACUGGCUCGAUACUGACGCUGAGGUGCGAAAGCGUGGGGAGCAAACAGG